CUACGGGAUGCUCCAGUGGGGAAUAUUGCACAAUGGGCGCAAGCCUGAUGCAGCCAUGCCGCGUGUAUGAAGAAGGCCUUCGGGUUGUAAAGUACUUUCAGCGGGGAGGAAGGGAGUAAGGUUAAUACUUUUGCUCAUUGACGUUACCCGCAGAAGAAGCACCGGCUAACUCCGUGCCAGCAGCCGCGGUAAUACGGAGGGUGCAAGCGUUAAUCGGAAUUACUGGGCGUAAAGCGCGCGCAGGCGGUUUGUUAAGUCAGAUGUGAAAUCCCCGGGCUCAACCUGGGAACUGCAUCUGAUACUGGCAGGCUUGAGUCUCGUAGAGGGGGGUAGAAUUCCCGGUGUAGCGGUGAAAUGCGUAGAGAUCUGGAGGAAUACCGGUGGCGAAGGCGGCCCCCUGGACGAAGACUGACGCUCAGGUGCGAAAGCGUGGGGAGCAAACAGGAUUAGAUACCCUCGUAGUC
Molecule: ribosomal RNA, 464 nt
Filed under: uncultured bacterium
Lineage: Bacteria
Description: partial 16S ribosomal RNA
Rfam family: Bacterial small subunit ribosomal RNA
Source: RNAcentral